RNAcentral lists this ribosomal RNA (361 nucleotides) under uncultured bacterium. Its description in RNAcentral is "bacterial SSU rRNA". It matches the Rfam family "Bacterial small subunit ribosomal RNA", at positions 29 to 417 of the family's 1533-position model. The record is from RNAcentral.
AAUGAACGCUGGCGGCAGGCCUAACACAUGCAAGUCGAGCGGGGACUUCGGUCCUAGCGGCGGACGGGUGAGUAACGCGUGGGAACAUACCCUUUGGUACGGAAUAGCCUCGGGAAACUGAGAGUAAUACCGUAUGUGCUCGAGAGAGGAAAGAUUUAUCGCCAAAGGAUUGGCCCGCGUUGGAUUAGGUAGUUGGUGGGGUAAUGGCCUACCAAGCCGACGAUCCAUAGCUGGUUUGAGAGGAUGAUCAGCCACACUGGGACUGAGACACGGCCCAGACUCCUACGGGAGGCAGCAGUGGGGAAUAUUGCGCAAUGGGCGAAAGCCUGACGCAGCGACGCCGCGUGGGUGAUGAAGGCCU